Non-coding RNA from Ailuropoda melanoleuca (giant panda), 73 nucleotides. The record is from Rfam. NCBI's taxonomy places the organism in Eukaryota, Metazoa, Chordata, Mammalia, Carnivora, Ursidae.
GGUUCCAUGGUGUAGUGGUUAACACAUUUGCUUUAUAUGCAGAAGAUCCUGGGUUUAAUUCCCGGUGUAAUCA